CCCUUAGACGCUCUAGGCGGCACGCGCGCUACAAUGGGUGGUAGAACGUGUUACUGCUUCCGAAAGGGAGGGUGAACCACGAAUACUGACCCGUGAAUGGGAUAGUUUGUUGCAAUUUUCGGACUUGAACUAGGAAUCCCUUUAAGCAUGCUCAAGAAUAGCGUGUUGAAUACGUCCCUGCCGUUUGUACACACCGCCCGUCGUUUCUUCCGACUGAUACUCAUUGUGAGUUGCAAGGAUUCCAUCUGGAAAAAUUGCUGCGAAUGCUUUGUAUUGGAGGAAGAAAAAGUCGUAACA
Molecule: ribosomal RNA, 297 nt
Filed under: uncultured eukaryote
Lineage: Eukaryota
Description: partial 18S ribosomal RNA
Rfam family: Eukaryotic small subunit ribosomal RNA
Source: RNAcentral